Molecule: ribosomal RNA, 528 nt
Filed under: Klebsiella pneumoniae
Lineage: Bacteria; Pseudomonadati; Pseudomonadota; Gammaproteobacteria; Enterobacterales; Enterobacteriaceae
Description: bacterial SSU rRNA
Rfam family: Bacterial small subunit ribosomal RNA
Source: RNAcentral
AAAUUGAAGAGUUUGAUCAUGGCUCAGAUUGAACGCUGGCGGCAGGCCUAACACAUGCAAGUCGAGCGGUAGCACAGAGAGCUUGCUCUCGGGUGACGAGCGGCGGACGGGUGAGUAAUGUCUGGGAAACUGCCUGAUGGAGGGGGAUAACUACUGGAAACGGUAGCUAAUACCGCAUAAUGUCGCAAGACCAAAGUGGGGGACCUUCGGGCCUCAUGCCAUCAGAUGUGCCCAGAUGGGAUUAGCUAGUAGGUGGGGUAACGGCUCACCUAGGCGACGAUCCCUAGCUGGUCUGAGAGGAUGACCAGCCACACUGGAACUGAGACACGGUCCAGACUCCUACGGGAGGCAGCAGUGGGGAAUAUUGCACAAUGGGCGCAAGCCUGAUGCAGCCAUGCCGCGUGUGUGAAGAAGGCCUUCGGGUUGUAAAGCACUUUCAGCGGGGAGGAAGGCGUUAAGGUUAAUAACCUUGGCGAUUGACGUUACCCGCAGAAGAAGCACCGGCUAACUCCGUGCCAGCAGCCGCGG